This 484-nucleotide ribosomal RNA is filed under the name uncultured bacterium. RNAcentral describes it as "partial 16S ribosomal RNA". It matches the Rfam family "Bacterial small subunit ribosomal RNA", at positions 29 to 507 of the family's 1533-position model. The record is from RNAcentral.
AUUGAACGCUGGCGGCAUGCUUUACACAUGCAAGUCGAACGGCAGCGCGGGCUUCGGCCUGGCGGCGAGUGGCGAACGGGUGAGUAAUACAUCGGAACGUGCCCAGUAGUGGGGGAUAGCUCGGCGAAAGCCGGAUUAAUACCGCAUACGACCUGAGGGUGAAAGCGGGGGAUCUUCGGACCUCGCGCUAUUGGAGCGGUCGAUGGCAGAUUAGUUAGUUGGUGGGGUAAAGGCCUACCAAGGCGACGAUCUGUAGCUGGUCUGAGAGGACGACCAGCCACACUGGGACUGAGACACGGCCCAGGCUCCUACGGGAGGCAGCAGUGGGGAAUUUUGGACAAUGGGCGAAAGCCUGGUCCAGCAAUGCCGCGUGUGUGAUGAAGGCCUUCGGGUUGUAAAGCACUUUUGGCGGGAACGAAAAGGACUGUGCCAAUACCACGGUUCGAUGACGGUACCCGCAGAAUAAGCACCGGCUAACUACGUG